GACGAACGCUGGCGGCGUGCCUAAUACAUGCAAGUAGAACGCUGAAGGAGGAGCUUGCUCUUCUGGAUGAGUUGCGAACGGGUGAGUAACGCGUAGGUAACCUGCCUGGUAGCGGGGGAUAACUAUUGGAAACGAUAGCUAAUACCGCAUAACAGUAGAUGUUGCAUGACAUUUGCUUAAAAGGUGCAAUUGCACCACUACCAGAUGGACCUGCGUUGUAUUAGCUAGUUGGUGGGGUAACGGCUCACCAAGGCGACGAUACAUAGCCGACCUGAGAGGGUGGUCGGCCACACUGGGACUGAGACACGGCCCAGACUCCUACGGGAGGCAGCAGUAGGGAAUCUUCGGCAAUGGACGGAAGUCUGACCGAGCAACGCCGCGUGAGUGAAGAAGGUUUUCGGAUCGUAAAGCUCUGUUGUAAGAGAAGAACGAGUGUGAGAGUGGAAAGUUCACACUGUGACGGUAUCUUACCAGAAAGGGACGGCUAACUACGUG
This 495-nucleotide ribosomal RNA is filed under the name uncultured bacterium. RNAcentral describes it as "partial 16S ribosomal RNA". It matches the Rfam family "Bacterial small subunit ribosomal RNA", at positions 28 to 507 of the family's 1533-position model. The record is from RNAcentral.